CACAGAACACACGGAAUUCGAUAAAUAUCCAUAUGUAACAACGUGCCCAAAUUGUUUAAGUUAUAUAAAAACAGAAAUUCAUCGCCAUACUACUGGUGCAACGCGUGCUAUUUCUGCAGCUUUCGUCCCAAUAUGCAUGUGUAUGAUACCAUAUAUUACGACUAAAUAUAAAGAUGUAGUGCAUUAUUGCCCCCGAUGCAAAAUUUAUUUAGGCGUCAAGUUUGGAAGAGGUAAAAUUUUAUUUGGUCGAUUUAUAGUACCGAUAUGUUGAUGAUAUAUACAUAUAUAUAAAAAAGUAAUAAUAAUAUAUUCGAUAAUUUUAAAAAUCUGAACUGUUAUAAAAAUUAUAAUAUUUAUCGAUAAUGAAUAUUUAUCUUAAAAUAAUGUUAUCGAUAUUUAUCAUUAUUAAUUAUUAUCUAUUAUAUAUUUUCUUUGUAAAUAAAAGUUUUAAAUAAAGUUUUAAAUAAGUUAAAAUUAAAAAUAA
Molecule: long non-coding RNA, 484 nt
Organism: Apis cerana (Asiatic honeybee)
Lineage: Eukaryota; Metazoa; Arthropoda; Insecta; Hymenoptera; Apidae
Source: RefSeq, a predicted model, not a curated record